Long non-coding RNA from Sorex fumeus (smoky shrew), 581 nucleotides. RefSeq lists it as uncharacterized. The record is from RefSeq and is a predicted model, not a curated record. The transcript is spliced from 3 exons. NCBI's taxonomy places the organism in Eukaryota, Metazoa, Chordata, Mammalia, Eulipotyphla, Soricidae.
GGGUGCAGCCGGGCCCGGGCAGCCCGCGGGCUCUCGGCGGCGACCAGCGGACGGCCAGGUGCGGAGGGCAGCCAGCCACACAGAUGACCCCAAGGUGAUCCUGCACAAGAAAAGCCAUCACGGAGAACACCCCCAUGAAGCCUCCUUACACCAAAGCACCAAGAUUCUGUUGUGGAUUUGGAGCUGGUAUCACUAGCCCUCAACCCGACAGGACCACUCCCAGGUACCCAAACCAUCUGUUAAUGAAAACUGCCAGAAGAGGCAAGUGCUGCUAAUUCAUUUUUCAAAAGCAAGAGGUGAGGUGUGGGAUCACCCACUAAUAGUGAUCCCAAUCUCUGGGUAGUCUUCUGGAUAAAACAAGUUUAGACAGGUUGAGAGGUUGGUGGCUGCGAACUUUCAACCAAGCAGGAAGGACAUAACGGUAUUCGCAUAACAAAGUUCUUCAAUUUGUAUGAAUGCAUUGAAACUCAGAAGUUAGAAUUUUGGUGUAAAGGGGGCAUCCGUGAGUACAUUACAUCUAACCAUCUACAACUACUUCCAUUUUUCAUUGACUAAUAAAGAUGUUUAAUGUUCAUCUUAAA